This 2903-nucleotide long non-coding RNA is filed under the name Ananas comosus (pineapple). RNAcentral describes it as "long non-coding RNA (ACOM_LNC043928)". The record is from RNAcentral. Lineage: Eukaryota; Viridiplantae; Streptophyta; Magnoliopsida; Poales; Bromeliaceae.
ACUGAUUGUCGACUUGGUAUGCUUCGGAAAGCCGAAGGCAUCAAAAUGGCCAAAGUUGUAUUGGAAUAAAGUCCGCGAGAGCAAAUGAUGUGAAACACCUGCACUUGGCAGAUUUGCUCUCGGGGACCGGUCCCUGGCGGGAGGGACCGGUUCCCGAACAUGGUCAGCGCGGGUUUGCUCUCGGGGACCGAUCCCUGGCAGGGAAAGACCGGUUCCAUUGGCUGGUGUCACGCCCCGGGACCCAGCGGAAGCCCGCCCGGCACGUGUCCAGACCCGCCAUACGUCUAAAAUAUAUAAGGCGUCUAAAAACAACAAUAAUAAAAGCAAUAGUAAUAGACAUCUAGGAGUAUCAGAGCAUAAUAAAAGUCUAAAUGCUACAACAAAGGAUAAGGAUAAAACUGUAAAUCCACUAAAUAAAACAUAAAGUGAUACAAGAAAAUUCCAGAUACAAGUAAUAUAGGUAGGUACAUAGGUGGUCUCUAUACAUGGAUACAAAAACCUCUCACUCUCUCAACUACAAAAAGAAAAAGCAAACCACCUAGGCAAAGUACCGCUCCUCGCUAGCUAGCUAAGCGAUCCCCUUGCCGCGAUCCCGUGCCUCCGCCGGUGCCGAAGGCUCUGAAAAGUAAACCAUAAAACAGGGGCAUGAGAACUAUUAAAAAUAGUUCCCAGUCGGCAAUUACUGACUUUAGUGAAUGCACCACAAGGCCCAAAGCUACAAAGGGUGUCAGUGACUAUAAAUGCAGAAAAGCGAAAGGUAGAUAAAAAUUUAACUUACUACAAUAUGAUAUCUCUACUUAGCAUAAAUAGCACAAGUAUGAAGCAACUGUGCAUGAAGUGAAAGUCUCCAACUAUCAUAAUGUUCACAAUGCGAAAUAGUAAAGUUCCGUUGUUUACUAUUCUAGUCAAUGUCCAAGUAGUACACUAAGUCAUCAUCUGUCCACAUGUCAUGACGAAUACUCAAAGUCAAAUCUGAAGAGACCCACCCGAAGGCUGUCUAUGGCCCUGAGACCCACCCGUAGGCUGUCUGGCCGGUGCCGAGCCUAAUGGCCCCGUGGUAGUCAUCAUCCCCACCCUAGGAAUGAGCCUGUCCCACGGCAAUCCACUUCGGCGCCCAAUCCCGCACGGCGAAUAUGAAUCGCGAUGGCUAUCUCCGGAGUGCCGGCUUGUAGGGAGCGACCCUCACAAGCAUGUGCGAAUGAGCACAAUGGCAAGUAGUCAAACGAUCUGUCGCAAGUACCAAGUCCUCAUGUCUAAUAACAUGGAAUGUGUCAAGUAUCUCAAUGGCCUAUCCCUAUGUCAUCAUGUCUCUAACAUGGAAUAUAGCAGAUAUGUAGUGGCCUAUCAAUAUGUCUCUAUGUUGCAGUUUCAUAGUUUACUAGUUUCAAGUGCCCCUUUAUGACACUCUUGUUCUCUAUGUCAAAGCAUGGCAACUAUGUUCCAAAGUACAUAUUCCAAGUCAUAAUUCUCAUAAGAGAUGUAUUUUCCACUUGUAAAAUAAACACUUUUCCCGUAUGCAUGGAUUCUACUCAUAUAGCUCUACUAUAUAGUAAAAUUUUCAUAAUACACAAGGCAUGCAUUUUAAGUGCUCUAAAAUUCAUAUAAAUUCCAUUUAGCAUAGAAAUGAAUUUAAAAAAUAUUUUACAACAAGUAGAAAGAGCAUAGGGGCCAUUUUGCCCCAUUUCCACGAAGCCAAACCCACCAAAAUCGACUUCCUCGUUUCGCCAAACGAAGGUAUCCACAAGCUUCCUAGUACCCUAGAAACAUCAAAAAUAGGGUCACCCAAACUAAACGAAGAGCAAAUAGCUCAAUCAUUAAGCUUCUCAAGCUAGGGUUGGGAAAAACUCACCUCAAGUGAAAAACCUCUCUUAAUCUUCAAAUGGAAGGUAGGGGUCUUCCAAUCUAACCUAUAUAAAGGUUCCAAACCAUUCAAAUGAGAUCAAAACCCUCAAAUCCAAAAACCCCCAAAAUAAACCCUAAAUCCCAAAAUCUAGGGUUUCAUCUAGUAAAACCUAGGAAAACAUGUAUCAAAAGGGGAUUACAUGCUACCAACCUCAAGAGGAGCUCCAAUCCAAGCUCAAAACCAAGUAGGGUUGAAGUUUGAUCCUCCACAAAGCUCCAACCGCAAGUUCAAAGCCACCAAAGUGAGAAAUAGGGAAGAAGAUGAUGCUCCAAGGCCUCUAAGCAAGCUCCUUCUCCUCUUCUUCUUCUCCCUCUCUUCUUCUCUCUCUAAAAUGCAAAGGGUUGAGAGAAAUGAGGGAAAGAGAGAGAAGAAAGGCUCUCAAUAGGCUCUAAAGUAACAAAAUCCUGAUAAGCCCCUCGAAAAUCCAAAAUCACAUCAGCCCGGUCUGGGCAGUUUUCGCCCAGAGGGACCGAUCUCCCCAACCUGGGACCGGUCUCUCAGCCUGCCCCCGAAAAUCCAUCGUUCGGGAACCGGUCUCUCCCUGCGCGGGACCGGUCUCUCCCCGCGCAGACGCGCUCGGGGACCGGUCUCGACUGCCAGGGACCGGUUGCCUCGCCGGCUGCGCAGCACUGUUCACUGGGGGCCGGUCUCUCCCAUCUGGGACCGGUCCCCGAGAGUAAAAACUCUCAGGACCCUGCCAAAACUCUCGAGAUCGAACUUUUAGGCCGGUAUACCAUCGACGGCCCUCCACCAAGUGUGGAAAAGUUCGGAAUACACAUCGAACACUCGAACCUCGCAAUUUGCAAAGGUCCAGUGUGCUACAGCUGGUGGUUGCGGCGACACGUGAUGCAACCGGUCCCCGAGCCAGGGGGACCGGUUCCCGAACGCCUAGAUUUGGGGAGGUCCUGAGGGACCGGUCCCUGGUAGGGAGAGACCGGUCCCCGUAGCCCGAAUCUACCCAGGUUGGGCUAUGUCAUGAAAGCAAAGUUGAAGGAUUUUU